Molecule: ribosomal RNA, 274 nt
Filed under: uncultured bacterium
Lineage: Bacteria
Description: partial 16S ribosomal RNA
Rfam family: Bacterial small subunit ribosomal RNA
Source: RNAcentral
AUACGGAGGGUGCAAGCGUUAUUCGGAAUCACUGGGCGUAAAGGACGCGUAGGCGGGUUGGCAAGUCAGAUGGGAAAUCCUACAGCUUAACUGUAGAACUGCAUUUGAAACUGCUAACCUAGAGUAUGGGAGGGGGAGAUGGAAUUAGUGGUGUAGGGGUAAAAUACGUAGAUAUCACUAGGAAUACCGAAAGCGAAGGCGAUCUCCUGGAACAUAACUGACGCUAAGGCGUGAAAGCGUGGGGAGCAAACAGGAUUAGAAACCCCAGUAGUCC